This 244-nucleotide ribosomal RNA is filed under the name uncultured Sphingobacteriales bacterium. Its description in RNAcentral is "partial 16S ribosomal RNA". It matches the Rfam family "Bacterial small subunit ribosomal RNA", at positions 1140 to 1382 of the family's 1533-position model. Lineage: Bacteria; Pseudomonadati; Bacteroidota; Sphingobacteriia; Sphingobacteriales. The record is from RNAcentral.
CUAGCGAAACGUGCCGGUGUAAACCGUGAGGAAGGUGGGGAUGACGUCAAAUCAGCACGGCCCUUAUGUCCAGGGCUACACACGUGUUACAAUGGCCGGUACAGAGGGCAGCUACCUGGAGACAGGAUGCGAAUCUCCAAAGCCGGUCUCAGUUCGGAUCGGAGUCUGCAACUCGACUCCGUGAAGCUGGAUUCGCUAGUAAUCGCGCAUCAGCCAUGGCGCGGUGAAUACGUUCCCGGGCCUU